Molecule: long non-coding RNA, 2351 nt
Organism: Chinchilla lanigera (long-tailed chinchilla)
Lineage: Eukaryota; Metazoa; Chordata; Mammalia; Rodentia; Chinchillidae
Exons: 2
Source: RefSeq, a predicted model, not a curated record
UUCAGCUUGCUUCAGAUUCCAGAGGAGGUGGCUCAGGGAGCCGAGGCCAAGGGUGGGACCACUGAGGACCUGCCUGUGACCCUUGACACCUGGCUGGAGCUGCUAGGAGCAGGAGCCCUGGGAGAACAAGGCUGUGAGCUGGAUGAGACAUUGGAAAGGAAGAGGAGAGAUACGGCCGAGCAAAGGUGGGGGAUGGCCGGACAGCACCAGGGUGUGGCGAGCAUUUGGUCCAGGCUUAGGGAAAGAAGGGAGGAGAGUCAUCCACUUAUCCUGUGACACAGCUUUGUUUUCAUUCAGACCAGGAACCUGAGGUUUACAGACUUUCGGAUGGUUGGAUCUCUACCUAGUAAGUAGAGAGGCUCCAGACCCAGGCAGUGUGGCUUCCUCUAACCACUACCCCAUCCUACCUCCUCACUGUGACCACCUUCAGGGACACUGUGUUCAUAGCAGCUGACUAGAAAGGAUCAUGGCUUAGCUCACAAGUCCCUGUGGGGCCAGGAGCAGCAGCAGGGUCGCUCCCUCAGGAGGUUUCCACCCAGGUGAGAUGCCCCAGGGGGUUGUGGGCAGCCAGGGAUGGCUGAGCUUAGGAGUCCCCCAGGACCCUGUGCCCCUCAACCUUCAGGGGCCCAAGGCUGGGAGAAUGAAAGCGCUUUUCACGGAAUUCCAACAGGAAACCCACGAGAACAUUCCUGCCCAAACGAUUCCAACAGGAAAACCACAAGAACAUUCUUGCUGGCAGUUCCAGCUGGGAGCUGGAGUCCAUGUUCCCUGCUAAGGAGGCUGAUCAGCGGAGAGGAGGCUCGGAGGAGAGGACUCGUUCCACCCAAGAUAGAUCUAGAGACUCCCUGACCUCUGACCUUCUGGAACUCAGGCUCCCAGGGUAGGGGAAGGUCAUGUGGGAAUUGGCCUGCCCAGUUCCUCGUGUCACUGCCUGUGCUCAGUUGGCUGUCCAGGACACUGCACGUUCCCUUCAAAUGUCCAUCUGUAGGUGAUGGCCCCCACCCCUCCAGGGCCUCCGACCAGUGUGAGGAUCUGUGAGUGGGGAGAAACCUGCCUUGAACUUAGCUGCCUGUGGAGACCAGUCAUUAGCAGCAAACAUGGCGCCCCACUGGCUGCCCCGUGCCCACUGCAUUUCUGCUGUGUCUGCCUUGAGUGAUCUGGCCGGGAGAAAGUUCCUUGCAGCAAGGAAGGGAGGGAGCACUGCAGGAGAAAUACCUCAUCCCAGGAGUCACCGAAGCUGCUCCCACACAGGUGCCAGAGCCCCUCGUUCCUGAACACCACCAACUAAUGAGAGCCAGUGGCCGCUGCAUAGUGGGAAGGGAGUCGCAAUCAGGGUUCACAUAGGCCCUACAAGCCAAUUUGUUUUUUUCCAGUACCAGGAAUCGAACUCACGACCUUGUGCUUGCCAGGCAGGCGCUGUGCCGCUGAGCUAAAUCCCCAGCCCCUACAAACCAAUUUUUCAAGGGCAGCAGCUUCACCAGAAAAUUGUUCAAUGCUGGCAAACUCAGCCAAGGUGGGAAUAUUUACACCGUGGAAAUUGGCAAAGGCAACAAACCAAGGCUCUGUUUCUUCCUUAGUGAGCCAGCACUCCAGCUAGACUGGGGGAAGCUAAGACCAGGGUUCUUGCCUUUGCUCCACCAGGUGGCUCUAGGCCUUUGUUUCCUUCUGUAGUGGGUUUUCUCAACCCCACCUACCUCAAAGGACGACUGGGCCUAAACAAGGAACUGCAGCUGGAUGUGCCUGUACAGGACAAAGCCUUGCAGAGUGACGGACCAUUGCUAUGGAUUUCCUAGAGCUUCCUGGAUGUCUGAUCUAAAUUUAGGUGCUUGUAGUCUGAGCUAAAUCCCAGCCACUGCCUUUCCUUCCUUCCUGCAGGCGCUCUGUCAGCAGCCACAGGAAGUCCCUGCUGGAAGGCCCUCUGCCCUUUGUUCUUUGGCCUCCAAGUUUGCAUGCAUGCUCUCUGGCCAGACUCGGUCCCCUCAGAUAUUCUCUGUGAGAACCUAGCUGGUGUCCAGACUGCCCCAUCCCCACCCAAGGCCAUUCCCUCCUUAUCCGUAGUCAUGCCCAUGCUUUGCUCAGCCGCUGCCUGGGAUAGCUUGUCCUUCCACAGCAGGACUCCUCAGGCCAACCUCUCUGGGUUUCAUCUCUACUUGGAGGAUGACAUCUGCUCACCAACCUUCACAGGGCCUACAACAAAGUCUGUGUGUAUUUCUGGUGUUGAACAAUGCAGUCAAGAGGGCCUGAAACUUCUGCAUGGGAUCAGCAACUCUUACCGUUGAUCUUGAUAAAAAAUAAAUCCCAAGGGCCAGUCUGAUCCCCUUCAUCAGAGUGUGGCCUCCCAAGUUGCUCAA